RNAcentral lists this microRNA precursor (80 nucleotides) under Eptesicus fuscus (big brown bat). RNAcentral's name for it is "microRNA efu-mir-544 precursor". Its record names the gene efu-mir-544. The record is from miRBase by way of RNAcentral. Lineage: Eukaryota; Metazoa; Chordata; Mammalia; Chiroptera; Vespertilionidae.
CAUGUAGUUCAGUACGUCUGAGCUGGGGACUGAGAUUCUGCAUUUGUCACAAGUUCCCAGGUGAUGCUGAUGUUGCAGGU